CCUACGGGUGGCAGCAGUGAGGAAUAUUGGUCAAUGGACGAGAGCCUGAACCAGCCAAGUCGCGUGAAGGAUUAAUGCCCUAUGGGUCGUACACUUCUUUUAUAUGGGAGUAAAAUGUUCCACGUGUCGGAUUUUGUAUGUACCAUCUGCACAAGGAACGGCUAAACUCGUGCCCGCAGCCGCGGUAAUACGGAGGAUCCUAGCGUUAUCCGGAUUUAUUUGGUUUAAAGGGAGCGUAUGUGGAGUCUUAAAUCCGUUGUGAAAGUUUGAGGCUCAACCGUAAAAUUGCAGUUGAAACUGGCAGUCUUGAGUGCGGUAGAGGUGGGCGGAAUUCGUGGUGUAGCGGUGAAAUGCAUAGAUAUCACGAAGAACUCCGAUUGCGAAGGCAGCUCUCUGGACUGCAACUGACACUGAGGCUCGAAAGUGUGGGUAUCAAACAGGAUUAGAUACCCCAGUAGUC
This 460-nucleotide ribosomal RNA is filed under the name uncultured bacterium. RNAcentral describes it as "partial 16S ribosomal RNA". It matches the Rfam family "Bacterial small subunit ribosomal RNA", at positions 338 to 795 of the family's 1533-position model. The record is from RNAcentral.